This 484-nucleotide ribosomal RNA is filed under the name uncultured bacterium. RNAcentral describes it as "partial 16S ribosomal RNA". It matches the Rfam family "Bacterial small subunit ribosomal RNA", at positions 30 to 507 of the family's 1533-position model. The record is from RNAcentral.
AUUGAACGCUAGCGGGAUGCUUUACACAUGCAAGUCGAACGGCAGCGCGGACUUCGGUCUGGCGGCGAGUGGCGAACGGGUGAGUAAUGUAUCGGAACGUCCCCAGUAGCGGGUGCUAACUACGCGAAAGCGUAGCUAAUACCCCAUACGCCCUACGGGGGUAAGCAUGGGAUCGUAAGACCUUGCACCCUUGGACCGUCCGAUAUCGGAUUAGCUAGUUGGCUAGGUAACGGCUCACCAAGGCGACGAUCCGUAGCUGGUUUGAGAGGACGACCAGCCACACUGGAACUGAGACACGGUCCAGACUCCUACGGGAGGCAGCAGUGGGGAAUUUUGGACAAUGGGGGCAACCCUGAUCCAGCCAUCCCGCGUGUGCGAUGAAGGCCUUCGGGUUGUAAAGCACUUUUGGCAGGAAAGAAACGUCGCGGGCUAAUACCCCGUGGAACUGACGGUACCUGCAGAAUAAGCACCGGCUAACUACGUG